UUACCGGGAACCUUGGUGGGUCCCUGGUCGCCCUCUUUCGGGAAGACGAUCCUCGUUCCUCUGGGGAUGCCCGGUUUAAUAGGACCUGCUCAUGUUUACAAGGGCCUACAGAAUAUAUAACUGCCCACGAAGACCCCGAAUAUUAGACAUUCGCAGAAGAUACACUCAUAGAGGACACAAUUGUAGCCUCAUCAUACGCAGUCUGAUAAAAAUAAAAGGAUUAUCAGUUGACUGAUGGAGCGCUGGCAGCGAGGACACGAAGAGGAUCGUGUACAGUUAGAGAUCAGUGUAGCAGCGAGAGGUUGUUUCGGGUCGAGAAAGCGUCGCGCGACAGAAGCGGAAGUGAAGAAACGUCUCGCGAUGCGGGGAGAUCGAUAAAGGAAGCGACGGAGAAGGGUACGGCCAAUGCAACCGAGAAGAUCUCACUUACGCCUGCUUGAUCUCCAAAUCGCAAAACGAAUAACGACAAAACGAGUCUGUCAAAUUACACUACAGUGUACCGAUUGGGCGACAAUCGACAACUGUUUCUAUGCGUUCGUGGCUAACAUCAGUGCAGGAUGGCUGCAAGAAAAAUCCGGAAAAGGAUGAAAAUCGGUGGAUCGUCGUUUGUUUUCAACAACUAACCGCGCCCCUCUCGACAACGAAAUAAUAGCAACGAGGAUCAUUAUGGAGGUUUCCGGAUUAAUUUUGAAUCUCGUGCGGAAAGCUGCUGCAAAGACGGAACCGAAAGAGAAGUGUUCUGGGGAGCAGGUGACGAGCACCGACGACAUAGGAUCCUCUGAUCAACGCGCAUCCAUCAGGAAGCCGUAUCCUUGCAAUUUAAUCGAGGAGUCACGGGACGACUGCUCGUCGGAGGCAGCGGAGGCAGCCGGGGAGAGGAUAUUCAAAGUAUCUUUGAGAACGGCUGAUGAAGAUUUCACGAGCGAUAAGGAGAACGGGUCAAGGAAGAAGAUCCGCGCGGAGCCGAGGCAGAUACUACCCAACAGCCGAGAAAAGAGCGACGAGCAGGAGAAAAUCUUUGUGCUGCAGCAACUCGGUCGAUCGCAGAUACGUCCGGAAGGAUUCCCGGCUUUCCUUUGCAUCGAUGGCCGGAUUGCGGACUCGAACGGAGUUAAGCGAAAAAUUCCGAGGCCGGCGAACGCGUUCAUGCUCUUCGCGAACGAGUGGCGGAAGAAGCUUGCCGCCGAGAAUCCUCGGGAGUCCAACAAGGACAUCAGCGUCAGAUUGGGCAUCCUGUGGAAGAACAUGGCGAAGGACGUGAAGGAAAAGUAUUUCGCUCUGGCGCGGGAAGUGGACGCGGAGCACAAGAGGAAGUAUCCAGGCACGUAAAGGAAACACAAUCGAUUCGUACAUCUGUUAAACGUAACCGAGACAAACACUAUAUACACUGUCAGGACACAAUUGCGUACAGGUAGAGUAGUCUCCCCUGGAACACGAUGGGCAUCGUAGAACGGCUUAAAUUUCCGCAGCGACCUCGUGCACACCGUGUCGCAUCGUUUAGAUCUACAAUCAGCUCGAUUAUCCGAAAUUAGCACUAGAACUACCUGACUCGUCUAGCUAACCAGUAGGCUGCGGAUCUUUAUGCGAACCAAAAAUCGUCUUGAUUUAUGUCAGAUAAUAACAAUAUAAUAAUAACAAUUAUAAGCUUAUAAAGAUUCGUAGUCUGCCAAUAAGUUAAAUAUUUUUCAUCUCGUAAUAGUAGUCCCGAAACAACUGCUAAUGUUCGAGCGUUUGCCAUCGUCAAAAAUUGUACAACGUUCUGUUACGUUAAAAAUACCAUGUAAACUAGUUGUCACAACAUCUGGUUACGUUCAACAGGCCGUGUAAAUUGGUCACUAGUAGUACUCGGUAGUUCUAGUGUCAAUGCUUGGUGGGUUCAGCGUUAAAUGACCACCGGCAGUGGUAGCGUUACGAUCGAAGGGCUGGGGGCAGCAGCCGCGAGAAAAUUUCUGGGCCGAGGUGAGCCCGAGGUGAGAGAUUCGUGUGCGAAUCGGGGGAGGAUAUAUCGCGGACCGGUAAACGGUCUCUCCUCAUCACCGAUAGCCACCGCCGGUGCGCUCACUGCUGGCUGAAAGUUCGAGGGGGUGCAAAGAUCCAAGCUAAAUUCCCCACUAAACGUCGGUCGCGCAAUCGACACGAGUGGGGGGUUGGGGGGUCGGUUGCGCGCCUCGGCCCCGAGCAAGCCCGAGUGGUCAAUUAAGAUCACCGGGAAGCGUCGAUAUGGUCUGCGCGAGCGUUCGAGAAACGCGGCACGGCGAGAGCGGAUUCGCGUGCAUCUGCGCGACUGCAUCGCACGCGUGACGAUGAGAGAGGGGCGGCUAGUGGUUGUCCGCUCGGCUCUGCUCAGCUCUGCUCCGGCUUGCCAGGGUGGAGAAAUCGCUCUUGAAACGACACCGGAUACAAGCUGCAGUCUGCAUGCACUUUUGUCAAAUUGUUUAAGCGUUCGAAUGGGCCUUUGUUCUUGUAAAGGAUUAGCAAUCCGUCCCUCGACUGUCUUUGAUGUUUGCAGUCAGGGGAUACUUGAUGCACUUCAAAAACUGUUCUUUGGAUUGUAAUAAAACGUGUAAUAGAGAGGUUGAAGAAAUUCUUUUUCAAAUUUAUCUUUUUAUUCUGCUCAUCGUAUCAAGAUCCUCGGGUCAUUUGUGGCACAGUGUCACAGCUAGGAUACUAAACAAUACUAGAUCUUCUAUUUUUAUUUUUUAUUUAAUUCAAACGGGACAGAAAUAUUAAGAUUUGCUACUGCAAAUUAACUGUAAUUACUGCUACAACUAAUGUUACUGUUAGAACUUUCAUCAGAGACUCUAUAUUAGGAUUUCUUAACACAAUGUUCAGAAGGAUAGAAGUUUCUAAAUUGUUAAAAGUUGCACGGUUAUAGAAAAAGGAAAAAAAUUGGUGUUUUUUCAUGGAAUGAAACGGGCUUGCGCAUGCAGCAGCGAGUGUGAUUCGAAAAGCGAUUUCCACACCCUAGCGAUCCGCUAGUUAGCCUGGCCUGGUCUGGCGUGGCGUGGCACGGUCGCGCCAAGGGAAGCCGUCAAAAUGUCGAGGCUCGUGCAUCCAGGUGGCACGUCGAGCCGAAGACACGAGUCGGGGGAGGAGUCUCUCUCCCUCUAUUCCUCGGCGUCUGUAACGAUCGCCGGUCAUCGAUCCGCUAUCGCAUCAAUGCGACGCUCGGUUGCUCAAGAAAACGAGCCACGUCGACGUGCUCGUUCCUCGUCGGACUACGGGCUGCGACGGGUCCGACGGAAAAUCGCGUCUUCAAGCUCGUCUUCCUGGGAAUUUCUUAUGGUAGGCCGGAGGAGGAACUUGAGAAAUUGCCUCCUCUCGCUACCACUUGCGGAGACUGCGGCUGAACGUUUACUUCCUCCAUGAUUCGGAUAUCUUAAUCCUCUGCCGGCGUUCCAUCUGUUCUUGCUUUUCAAACUGAAUCUUGCGAAUCUUUGUUAUUUUAUUAGCAAACUUUUACGUUUCUCUAUUCAAUAGCGAGGUAGAAAAAUGGUUAAAAUUAAAUAUUACUUGUAGUCCAAAACUUCUGUCCUGGAAUGUGCCCGGUUACAAUCAAAGUCUACUCGCAGACUAAGAGAGGAUUUAUUUCUUUAUAAGUAGACCGAAGAUUUUAGCGUUCUCGUCUGUUCAAUAUCAAGGUAGAAAGAUUGUCAGAAAUGAAUAUUGCUUGCAGCUGAAAACUUGUCUGUGAAUGAAUCUUAAAAUGAAAGUCCGAUUGCAGAGGAUUUCUCUUCAAAAAUUGUUCCCAUAUUGAGCCGGCGGUUCCCGCAAGAACUGCUAUGUCUGUUGUAGCAAAAGUAUAAGAAAAACUCCAGCAGAGAAUAGCCGAGACCAUCGCUAGAUCCAUGCGCGCGGAUUUCUCUCCUGAGGCAGAUCUCAUGGAUUCGAGCGGUUUUAGGGGUGGCACCGGUCUGACGGCGUAAAGCGCGUAAAGCGUAAAGCGGCCGACUUUCUGGGGAUAGAUAUUAACCAGAGAGUGGAACAGAUAGAACGACGGCUUUUCUAACACUUAUCGACGCAUCCACCGAAUUGACGAAAUUGUUUAUUAAUGGAAAUAACGGCCGAGGAGACUGCGGCGCUCGCGCGCAAGUCUUCCUGGUUGUCGCGAGGGUUGUUGGCCCAGCGGCUCCACAAGUGUGUAAUCACCUGAAUUACAAACUUCUCCUAUUAUCUUAAACUAUAUUCGUGUAAGCUCGGUCGAGCACGGGAAUUACAAAUAUAUUCGUUUUUGGGGAUCGCGUGCUCCCGGUGAAAAAUCUGCUUUUCCCCGGGGAGUGCUUAAUUUUGUAAAGGUUUUCUAAAAAGGGAAUUUCUUUUCAUUAAAUAGUGAUUCUCGCGCGGCAGCUAUUGCACAACAAACAUGUUAACAAUUCUGUGCAGAAAGUUCUUGGUUAACUUGGAAAUAUUUAUUUAUUUUAUUUUAUUUUUCUAGUUUUCUCUAGAAACGUAGCUGUGGUUGGUCACGUUGGUAAUCUGAAUACAGAAACAUUUGCACUUAAAUCGAACUAAGAUAGGAUGGAACGAUUUUCGAUGAAUGAGAUGCAUCCAGUUUCAUAGUCCAUUUACUGUCUUUCCAUAAAGAGUGAUUCGGAGCUAAUUGAGCGUUGAGGCCAGAGCAAUGUAAAACUGUUCAACCGAGUUGAUUUCAGCAUGCUAACGCGCGCUGCGUUUAACAACAUCCUAUCCAUCGACUUACGUACACGUUGCGACGACAAACUGCUCUAAAUUCUGCGCCAACCCGGCAACCGGAUCGAAAGACGAUCGUCGAAAUCUGCGGAGAGCAGGCCUGGCCGUAAAAUCAAACGGAAAAUCGAUGGUGCAGGGUGUCGGGGAAAGGAAGCCGGCGAGCCGGAUCGUCGAAACUGCGCUCGGUUUGAACUCUGUCCGGGUAAUCGAUGAGGGCCGUCGGUGGAGGGAAAGGUAGAGGCAGAGCGGCAGGCAGCAGAGAGAGCGGCAAGAAUAACACGGUACAUCGAUCAGCUUCCGAAACGAGUCCACCGUUCGAUCGUCCCGACGCACACACGUCGGCGUGGUCGUCGACGGUGGCAGCAGCCUAGCUGGCCAAGCCAAGGCAGGCAAGGCAAGGGUUCGUUCAAUCUGACGGAAAGAUUCGCGGCGUAGGAUCAAGGAGGAAACACGGGCGGACGGAAUCGAUAGACGACGGAAGGGUUUCUUUAUUUCGCGGAGAGGGCCGAGACGCGGCGGUGGUGGAACGGUCUGGCCUCCUCGUGGCUGCGUCCUCCUCCUCCUCCUCCUCCUCCUCCACCUCCUCCGCCUCUGCUUCAGCUUCAUCCUCCUUCGCUUCAUCCGCCUCCGCCUCGUCCUCGAGGGUGGGGAACAAUCCUCCCUCUCGUUGCCACCCUUCCUCCGGUUGCGCGUCGGGCCGGCGACGUCGGAUUCGUCGAUGACGAAACCGUUCGCCUCCGUAAAUUCGCGGACGUGCACGGUGCUGCCGCUCGCGAAAAUCAGUGCGACCGGAGUGCACCGCGAGGAAGGAACGCGGGUCGACCCGUGCGCGGCCUGCGGUUCCCGCUUGCGGCACGCGCGCCUCUCUUCUCUUUCUGCAAAGCCUGCUGCUGCUGCCUCACCUGGCGCACACCUUCCGCCUCUCUCUCACCCGCAGAUACCGUCAGACCGCCGCGGAAAUAGGUCGACGGACGCGCGCGCACACACGAGGAUCUCGCGACGGUAAACAGUGCCGACCGCGGCCGAAAACAGACCACCGACCAGUACCCGACACCUACUAUUCGCCCGUCCGUACGCCGCCGAGCCUGAUUCCAACUGGAGACAAUAGGGGACGUGGCCUGGCUCACGGAGGGAAAAUAUGAACACCCUGGCCGAGGCCGAACUCGCCCGGAGCUGCUAUUUCUGGGAAACCGUGAUCGGUACGGACACCGCUGUUCACGGUUCUGUUUAAGCCGGGAGAUUGAUGCUGGAAAUCGUGCGACGAUCGGCAUGAACACGUUCGAGGUUCUUUUGUUUGAGUCGCCUAUGGGUGCAGAAUAUUGUACGGUGCUGCAUGAAAAUUGAAACUGUAAACCUGGUGUGUUGAUCGGUAUGAACGCUGGGGAUCGAGGGUGUCAAAAGUUCUUUAAUCAAACACUGAAGAUUGUUCCAUGUUCAUUGAGGAAUUCGCUGGACAGAAGUUGAUGUUAUUGGGAAACAAUCAUUCUGGAAAAUAAUCUGAUGAACAAUUUCGAGAGGUACUUGAAGAGCCACGUGAAGAAUCGGUUGCCGAGGGAGCAGGGGAUGAAUUGAUGGCCCAGACCCUUCCGGUCCCAUUCUGUCGGUGGAGUGACCGCGUUACUCUGGUAUCGAGCCAGAGGUGGUAAAUAAAAAAUCGUGCGCCGCAGGAAUGAAAAUUGACGCGUCUAAGUCGUCGGACAAACAAAUUGCCAGACAAAAGUUGUUCGGUCAACGGAGAAUCGAUCCAUGUAUAAACACUUGUAAAUUUUCAGAAACCUGCACGGUCGAGGGCUCGUGUGUCGCGUGUCGGGCAGGGGCCGAGCGUGGAGGAGCGUGAAAACUGAAUUCGUCUCUCGAGGAACAAGCGUUGCGGAAGAUUCGGUAAAUAACACGGACUCACGAGGACGCAGGGGGUUGAACAGUCAGAGUCGGGUCCAAGGGGCAGUCGUCGAGGUUGAUCGAAGUGUUGGAAAAGUGGCGGCGUUUCCUCCCAUUGAGCUACCCCCGGCGCGGCGGGUGUCGGAGAGAGGGGGAUAUGAAUCCCGGAGAGAGGGAAAAUACGAAUACUGCGUCGGAAACUGCACCGUGAAUUCGGAACGAUAAAUUUGAUCGAGCUCGGGGGUGUAAACGGUGCACGGGAGCGGAGGCUUGACCAUCGGCGGCCGAUCGAUCGCCGGACGCUGCCGCCCAGCAAUCGUCGAAUUCGUCGCAUCGAUCUCGAUCGACAACCAGCCGGGACCGCCGAAAUCGAACCGUGAAGCAGACCGGACAAUUUCGAGCUGAAACAUAUUGUUCGGCACUUUUGAAAUUCGACCGAAAGACAAUUACCUUCGAUGUAACGUAAGUUCCGCGGAAAGAUCAUCCGCCGGAGAUCGGGACGGGAAACCGAUCGAUCGAUCGCUGCACCACCGGAGCAAUCAAAGGACAAUGAAUCCACACCGACGAGGUUCAGUGUCGGAAUUUAGGACACCGGAAGACAAAGGUUAACCGAGAGUCGCCGAAGAUCGCGGACACUUGUGAGCUCCGUCUGGCACAUGUGAUAGCGAAGAAGCUCCCGGUGGGAGGAACGGUGAGGGAAAACACACACACACACACACACA
Megalopta genalis is the source of this 7289-nucleotide non-coding RNA. Lineage: Eukaryota; Metazoa; Arthropoda; Insecta; Hymenoptera; Halictidae. The record is from RefSeq and is a predicted model, not a curated record.